CCGGCGCUCGCCGGGUAAGACGCACCGGAGCCGGGAGCGAGAGCUCGAGGCCCUGAGCGCCGAGCCUCGGCUGCCGGCCCAGGCAGGUGAGUGGCCUCGGCGCCUCCCGGCUCGCGCGCCCGAAACGGGCGCGGCCUGGCCCGGACCCGCGGUCUCUCCGUACGUCUGUUUCUGCUCCCUGCCUGUAGCUUACGACUCAUCAACGCGUAAAACGCGAUCGCAGCGAAACCUCCAGCCUGUCUUGCCGCCUCAGAGCCCAGCAGGGGCUUCUCAAAGACAACGCGGCACCGGGGACAAUCCCCGGUGUCCGGCAAGGCCGCCCCAUGGAGUUCAAAGUCGGGGAUGGAGCGCGGGAGGCCCCGGACUCGCAGGCCGGCCGCCAGGCGGUGAACGCCGGAGCCGAGCGGAAGCUUACCGCCGACCGCGAUCCCAGCGUCGGUUCGCGGGGAGACGGUCGUUCCGAGCUUUCAGGAGAGCAGGAACGAACCCGCAGGGAGAGGAAAGCAGGGAGCCAGGCAGCUCGGCCCCCAGCCGGCCAGUAAUGGGGGGUCCCUCGUGUGUCGGCUGGACAGACCGAUGGAUGCUAACCAGGGGCCUCCCCGACUGAGCAGUCAGACCAUGGGAUCCCUGCUGAGGGAACAAACCUCCAGGGAGGCUGAAGGCAGCUCCCAGCUCCUAGGAUGGGCUGGGCUGGGGUGGGGAUCCGGGGCUGCAGAGAGCGGAUUUAUGUCAACUUAGGG
Molecule: long non-coding RNA, 740 nt
Organism: Bos taurus (domestic cattle)
Lineage: Eukaryota; Metazoa; Chordata; Mammalia; Artiodactyla; Bovidae
Source: Ensembl